This 447-nucleotide ribosomal RNA is filed under the name uncultured bacterium. RNAcentral's name for it is "bacterial SSU rRNA". It matches the Rfam family "Bacterial small subunit ribosomal RNA", at positions 29 to 521 of the family's 1533-position model. The record is from RNAcentral.
AGCGAACGCUGGCGGCAGGCCUAACACAUGCAAGUCGAACGGAUCCUUCGGGAUUAGUGGCGGACGGGUGAGUAACACGUGGGAACGUGCCUUUUGGUUCGGAAUAACUCAGGGAAACCUGUGCUAAUACCGGAUGUGCCCUUCGGGGAAAGGAUUUAUCGCCAUUAGAGCGGCCCGCGUCUGAUUAGCUAGUUGGUGGGGUAAAGGCCUACCAAGGCUACGAUCAGUAGCUGGUCUGAGAGGAUGAUCAGCCACACUGGGACUGAGACACGGCCCAGACUCCUACGGGAGGCAGCAGUGGGGAAUCUUGCGCAAUGGGCGAAAGCCUGACGCAGCCAUGCCGCGUGAAUGAUGAAGGUCUUAGGAUUGUAAAAUUCUUUCACCGGGGACGAUAAUGACGGUACCCGGAGAAGAAGCCCCGGCUAACUUCGUGCCAGCCGCCGCAGU